AUCCAAUUAUGUUCUCAGAACAGCAUACGAGCUCAAUGUAAGAUUUGCCACGGACAGCGUAGAGCUGGUGACGGAGCAACCCAGACUUAGUGUGAUUGAAGUCUUCGGCUACAUUGGCGGCUAUCUAGGAAUAUGGCUUGGGUUUUCUUUACUUCAAGCCCUCGAGUACUACCACAAUUUAAUCAGGCGCAAAGCUGCAAACUGUCCCUGGCUUUCACGCAACGUACAACGGAAGAAUGCAGACACGCUGAGACGUUCCAACGUAGAAGGCAGAAUUACAGGCAUUUUUUCGGUUUCCAGAGCAGAGAUAAAAUGACUUUUUUGUU
This is a long non-coding RNA of Dermacentor albipictus, 326 nucleotides long. RefSeq lists it as uncharacterized. The record is from RefSeq and is a predicted model, not a curated record. NCBI's taxonomy places the organism in Eukaryota, Metazoa, Arthropoda, Arachnida, Ixodida, Ixodidae.